ACGCUGGCGGCGUGCUUAACACAUGCAAGUCGAACGAAAAUACCAAGCUUGCUUGGUUGAUUAGUGGCGAACGGGUGAGUAACACGUGAGUAACCUGCCCCUUACUUUCCUGGAUAACUGCUCGAAAGGGUAGCUAAUACGGGAUAUUCUGACCAUCCUGCAUGGGUUGGUUUGGAAAGGUUGUUUUUCUGGUAAGGGAUGGGCUCGCGGCCUAUCAGCUUGUUGGUGGGGUGAUGGCCUACCAAGGCUUUGACGGGUAGCCGGCCUGAGAGGGUGGACGGUCACACUGGGACUGAGAUACGGCCCAGACUCCUACGGGAGGCAGCAGUGGGGAAUAUUGCACAAUGGGCGCAAGCCUGAUGCAGCGACGCCGCGUGAGGGAUGAAGGCCUUCGGGUUGUAAACCUCUUUCGUCAGGGAACAAGGCACUGCUUUGGUGGUGUUGAGGGUACCUGGAUAAGAAGCGCCGGCUAACUACGUGCCAGCAGCCGCGGUAAUACGUAGGGCGCAAGCGUUGUCCGGAAUUAUUGGGCGUAAAGAGCUCGUAGGCGGCUGGUCGCGUCUGUCGUGAAAACUUCCGGCUCAACCGGGGGCUUGCGGUGGGUACGGGCCGGCUAGAGUGCGGUAGGGGUAACUGGAACUCCUGGUGUAGCGGUGGAAUGCGCAGAUAUCAGGAAGAACACCGAUGGCGAAGGCAGGUUACUGGGCCGUUACUGACGCUGAGGAGCGAAAGCGUGGGGAGCGAACAGGAUUAGAUACCCUGGUAGUCCACGCCGUAAACGUUGGGCACUAGGUGUGAGGCUCCUUUCCGGGGGUUUUGCGCCGUAGCUAACGCAUUAAGAGCCCCGCCUGGGGAGUACGGCCGCAAGGCUAAAACUCAAAGGAAUUGACGGGGGCCCGCA
RNAcentral lists this ribosomal RNA (901 nucleotides) under uncultured bacterium. RNAcentral describes it as "bacterial SSU rRNA". It matches the Rfam family "Bacterial small subunit ribosomal RNA", at positions 33 to 925 of the family's 1533-position model. The record is from RNAcentral.